AUAUAUAAAGCAAAAGGCAGAGAAUGGUGAAACAUUGAUUAAUCCCAAAUAUAUCCUUUGUUAAACAAAAAAUUAAAAGCACACAAUUUUAAUUAAAAGAGGGUGAAAUCGUAAAACACCAUUGAUUUUAAAAGAAAAAAAUAAAAAAAAUAAAAAAGGAGUAGUGCUGUAGAAAAUAAAGUCGUGCUGUGCGAUUGAUUUUAAAAAAAAGAAAAAAGGAGUCGUGCUGUACAAAAUAGAGUCGUGCUGUGCUGUGCUUGACUCAGAGAAGAAGGGCUGAAGAACGUGGAGAAAAAUUCCUCAUGUUCAGAACCCACGAAGCUGGCGGUUUCCACAAUUUCAGAACCCAUCACCACCAUGUUACUUAUAUUUUCUUCCUCCACUUUACUGGCACUCUUUUCUGCUUCAGAAAUCCAAAUCGAGAGUAACCACUCAGGAACACCCAGUGUAAAGACUGGUCAGACCCAAAAACCUUGCUUUCUCAUUCCGCACCACACCUGUUACCUUGUAACUGAAGGAGAGGUUAUACACCAUUCACCAUUAGAGAAAGCACCAGCAAGCCCAAGGCUUAUAAUUCAUGGUCGCCAACUCUUGAAGCAUUGUUCUCAACUGCGUCUGUUCUUCUUGCGGGAAACCUUGCUGAUCCAAAAUCAAAGCAUUUAGAUUUGAUGGGUUUGAUGUGAAUGAGCACCAAUGAAGAAAGCAUUUAUAUUUGAUGGGUUUGAUGUGAAUGAUUCAAUCGUCUCUCACCUCUUUGACGUAUAAGCAAUCACUGAAGCAAAGAAGCAAAGAUAACUUUCAGGAGAGCUUGGGUACGAAAUCCAAAUACGAGAAGCGGUCGUUCGCCCAAAUUGUCUAACCAUUCUUCACUUUGAAGGAUUCUCUUCCAAAAAUCUAUCCAUUGCUAGGUAUGGGAAUACGCCCACAUUCACCUACCUUUACAUUAUUUUCUUCGUUUGCUAAUUAUACUUUUUUACCUAAUAAAGCAACAAGCAGCUCACAGAAGAACAAUGAAAACAUUAAACAGAGAAAAUCAUUUUGCUUGCUCCUUUGUAUUUGAUUAUUAUUAUACCAACCAAAACAAUGAAGACUACAACCUGGACAUGCUCAAGGUUGAACUUUGCAAUAUAUGUAUUAUAUUUUUUAAUUAAUUAAUCAUUUGUAUUAAUAACCAAUCUUUUGUAUUAAUAAUCGAUGUACCCUAAUUUGAUUUAUAUAAGAAGUUCGUUUUCAAUGUA
This is a long non-coding RNA of Prunus persica (peach), 1238 nucleotides long. RefSeq lists it as uncharacterized. NCBI's taxonomy places the organism in Eukaryota, Viridiplantae, Streptophyta, Magnoliopsida, Rosales, Rosaceae. The record is from RefSeq and is a predicted model, not a curated record. The transcript has 8 exons.